GACGAACGCUGGCGGUGUGCUUAACACAUGCAAGUCGAACGGUAAGGCCCUUUCGGGGGUACACGAGUGGCGAACGGGUGAGUAACACGUGAGUAACCUGCCCUCAUCUCUGGGAUAACAGUCGGAUACGGUUGCUAAUACUGUAUAUGAGCUUGCAAGGCAUCUUGUGGGUUGGAAAGAUUUUUUUUGGUUGGGGGUGGACUCGCGGCCUAUCAGCUUGUUGGUGAGGUAGUGGCUCACCAAGGCUUCGACGGGUAGCCGGUCGGAGAGGGCGACCGGCCACAUUGGGCCUGGGAAACGGGCCAAACUCCUAAGGGAGGCAGCAGGGGGGAAUAUUGAACAAUGGACGGAAGUCUGAUGCAGCAACGCCCCGUGCGGGAUGACGGCCUUAGGGUUGUAAACCGCUUUCAAUUGUGACGAAGCAUUUUUGUGACGGUAGCAGUAGAAGAAGCACCGGCUAACUACGUG
This 468-nucleotide ribosomal RNA is filed under the name uncultured bacterium. Its description in RNAcentral is "partial 16S ribosomal RNA". It matches the Rfam family "Bacterial small subunit ribosomal RNA", at positions 28 to 507 of the family's 1533-position model. The record is from RNAcentral.